RNAcentral lists this ribosomal RNA (363 nucleotides) under uncultured bacterium. Its description in RNAcentral is "partial 16S ribosomal RNA". It matches the Rfam family "Bacterial small subunit ribosomal RNA", at positions 338 to 698 of the family's 1533-position model. The record is from RNAcentral.
CCUACGGGAGGCAGCAGUGAGGAAUAUUGGUCAAUGGACGGAAGUCUGAACCAGCCACGCCGCGUGCAGGAAGAAGGCUCUCGGAGUUGAAAACUGCGUUGGUACAAGGGUAAACGUGAAUACGUGUCUUCAGCUGAAAGUACUGUACGAAUAAGGAUAGGCUAACUCCGUGCAAGCAGCCGCGGGAAUACGGAGGAUCCAAGGGUUAUCCGGAUUUAUUGGGUUUAAAGGGUGCGUAGGCGGAUUGAUAAGUUAGAGGUGAAAUGUCCGAGCUUAACUCGGGAACUGCCUCUAAUACUGGUGAUCUCGAGAGUAGAUGCGGUAGGCGGAAUGUAUGGUGUAGCGGUGAAAUGCUUAGAGAUC